GACGAACGCUGGCGGCGUGCUUAACACAUGCGAGUCGAACGGAAAGGCCCUGCUUGCCGGGUACUCGAGUGGCGAACGGGUGAGUAACACGUGGGUGAUCUGCCUUGCACUUCGGGAUAAGCCUGGGAAACUGGGUCUAAUACCGGAUAGGAGCCAUUUUUAGUGUGAUGGUUGGAAAGUUUUUUCGGUGUAGGAUGAGCUCGCGGCCUAUCAGCUUGUUGGUGGGGUAAUGGCCUACCAAGGCGGCGACGCGUAGCCGGCCUGAGAGGGUGGACGGCCACAUUGGGACUGAGAUACGGCCCAGACUCCUACGGGAGGCAGCAGUGGGGAAGAUUGCACAAUGGGCGCAAGCCUGAUGCAGCGACGCCGCGUGGGGGAUGACGGCCUUCGGGUUGUAAACUCCUUUCGCUAGGGACGAAGCUUUUUGUGACGGUACCUAGAUAAGAAGCACCGGCUAACUACGUG
RNAcentral lists this ribosomal RNA (465 nucleotides) under uncultured bacterium. RNAcentral's name for it is "partial 16S ribosomal RNA". It matches the Rfam family "Bacterial small subunit ribosomal RNA", at positions 28 to 507 of the family's 1533-position model. The record is from RNAcentral.